Molecule: ribosomal RNA, 834 nt
Filed under: Bacillus subtilis
Lineage: Bacteria; Bacillati; Bacillota; Bacilli; Caryophanales; Bacillaceae
Description: bacterial SSU rRNA
Rfam family: Bacterial small subunit ribosomal RNA
Source: RNAcentral
CUCCUACGGGAGGCAGCAGUAGGGAAUCUUCCGCAAUGGACGAAAGUCUGACGGAGCAACGCCGCGUGAGUGAUGAAGGUUUUCGGAUCGUAAAGCUCUGUUGUUAGGGAAGAACAAGUACCGUUCGAAUAGGGCGGUACCUUGACGGUACCUAACCAGAAAGCCACGGCUAACUACGUGCCAGCAGCCGCGGUAAUACGUAGGUGGCAAGCGUUGUCCGGAAUUAUUGGGCGUAAAGGGCUCGCAGGCGGUUCCUUAAGUCUGAUGUGAAAGCCCCCGGCUCAACCGGGGAGGGUCAUUGGAAACUGGGGAACUUGAGUGCAGAAGAGGAGAGUGGAAUUCCACGUGUAGCGGUGAAAUGCGUAGAGAUGUGGAGGAACACCAGUGGCGAAGGCGACUCUCUGGUCUGUAACUGACGCUGAGGAGCGAAAGCGUGGGGAGCGAACAGGAUUAGAUACCCUGGUAGUCCACGCCGUAAACGAUGAGUGCUAAGUGUUAGGGGGUUUCCGCCCCUUAGUGCUGCAGCUAACGCAUUAAGCACUCCGCCUGGGGAGUACGGUCGCAAGACUGAAACUCAAAGGAAUUGACGGGGGCCCGCACAAGCGGUGGAGCAUGUGGUUUAAUUCGAAGCAACGCGAAGAACCUUACCAGGUCUUGACAUCCUCUGACAAUCCUAGAGAUAGGACGUCCCCUUCGGGGGCAGAGUGACAGGUGGUGCAUGGUUGUCGUCAGCUCGUGUCGUGAGAUGUUGGGUUAAGUCCCGCAACGAGCGCAACCCUUGAUCUUAGUUGCCAGCAUUCAGUUGGGCACUCUAAGGUGACUGCCGGUGACAAA